GAUGAACGCUGGCGGCGUGCCUAAUACAUGCAAGUCGAGCGAACAGACGAGGAGCUUGCUCCUCUGACGUUAGCGGCGGACGGGUGAGUAACACGUGGAUAACCUACCUAUAAGACUGGGAUAACUUCGGGAAACCGGAGCUAAUACCGGAUAAUAUAUUGAACCGCAUGGUUCAAUAGUGAAAGACGGUUUUGCUGUCACUUAUAGAUGGAUCCGCGCCGCAUUAGCUAGUUGGUAAGGUAACGGCUUACCAAGGCAACGAUGCGUAGCCGACCUGAGAGGGGGACGGGCCAAACGGGAAAUGGAAAAGGGGCCAAAAUACAAAGGGGGGCAGCAGUAGGGAAUUUUCCGAAAGGGGGGAAAGCAUGAAGGAGCAACGCCGGGUGGGGGAAGAAGGUUUUGGGAUCGUAAAACUCUGUUAUUAGGGAAAAAAAAAUGUGUAAGUAAAUAUGAACGUUUUGACGGUACCUAAGCAGAAAGCCACGGCUAACUACGU
Molecule: ribosomal RNA, 496 nt
Filed under: uncultured bacterium
Lineage: Bacteria
Description: partial 16S ribosomal RNA
Rfam family: Bacterial small subunit ribosomal RNA
Source: RNAcentral